AGAUGGCGACCGGCGCACGGGUGAGUAACACGUAUCCAACCUGCCGAUGACUCGGGGAUAGCCUUUCGAAAGAAAGAUUAAUACCCGAUGGCAUAGUUCUUCCGCAUGGUGGAACUAUUAAAGAAUUUCGGUCAUCGAUGGGGAUGCGUUCCAUUAGGUUGUUGGCGGGGUAACGGCCCACCAAGCCUUCGAUGGAUAGGGGUUCUGAGAGGAAGGUCCCCCACAUUGGAACUGAGACACGGUCCAAACUCCUACGAGAGGCAGCAUG
RNAcentral lists this ribosomal RNA (268 nucleotides) under uncultured bacterium. RNAcentral describes it as "partial 16S ribosomal RNA". It matches the Rfam family "Bacterial small subunit ribosomal RNA", at positions 86 to 353 of the family's 1533-position model. The record is from RNAcentral.